Molecule: ribosomal RNA, 481 nt
Filed under: uncultured bacterium
Lineage: Bacteria
Description: SSU rRNA
Rfam family: Bacterial small subunit ribosomal RNA
Source: RNAcentral
AGGACGAACGCUGGCGGCGUGCCUAAUACAUGCAAGUCGAACGAGACUUUCCUCGGUGGUAACACCUUUGAUUGUCUAGUGGCGAACGGGUGAGUAACACGUGAGAAACCUGCCCUGAAGACGGGGAUAACAGGAGGAAACUUCUGCUAAUACCCGAUACCCCCACCGGAUCGCAUGGUCUGGUGAGGAAAUGGAUUCCGCUUCAGGAGGGUCUCGCGGCCUAUCAGCUUGUUGGUGAGGUAACGGCUUACCAAGGCUUGGACGGGUAGCUGGUCUGAGAGGACGAUCAGCCACACUGGGACUGAGACACGGCCCAGACUCCUACGGGAGGCAGCAGUAAGGAAUAUUGCGCAAUGGGCGAAAGCCUGACGCAGCAACGCGCGUGCGGGAUGAAGGCCCUCGGGUUGUAAACCGCUUUCAGUAGGGAAGAAAAUGACGGUACCUACAGAAGAAGCCCCGGCAACUACGUGCCAGCAGCCGC